GGGGCUAUAGUUUAAUUUAAGAUACCUAUUUUGCAUGUAGGAGAUUUGGCUCUA
This 54-nucleotide transfer RNA is filed under the name Camallanus cotti. RNAcentral describes it as "tRNA-Ala". Lineage: Eukaryota; Metazoa; Nematoda; Chromadorea; Rhabditida; Camallanidae. The record is from RNAcentral.